AGCUGGGGUGAUUCCACGUGUAACGGGCUCAGGCCCAGGAGGGGCCGGUUGGAGGCUUUUUUUCUGCCUACCUUCCCAAGGGCGACAGUGGGCUGGAGCUGAAUUCGGCUACCUGAACCCCCAGGGUCUCGGCAGGUUGCUAGGCAACCCCAGAAUCCCCCAGGAAGGGCGAGGAGAAAGUGAACCUGUCCUGUAGUUUAAAUCACCAGACCAUGAGAAGCUACAUCUGGACCAGAAAGAGGGGCCUGCCCAGUACACAGAGUUCCUGGACUCCAAGCUGUAUGUAGGAGCUGGUUGAGGAAAACCAGUGACAAACCUGGACCACUAUGCCUCAGUUUCUUUGGUGCCUUCCUACUUUUCACAAGUCCCCACCCAGGACCUCCAGAGCUUGAAACUGUCUUGUGAUCCUAUUCUAAUCCAACAUGUGAACAAUCUUCUGUGUUCCAAAGAUGAGGUGAGCUCUAAAGUGGAUUCAUCUCUCUGCUUACUCUUUUAGCUCAGAGCAGGCAUACAGGUUCCAGAGGGAAGUUAACAAUUUGUCAAAGGAAAGUACAUGACUUAAGACAAGAUUUAUCCCAUGGAGGUAAACCUCUUACUCCAGACAACCAGCUGUGCAAAAGGUUCCCGGCCAACUAAGAGACAGUUAUGAGGAUUCCUGACUCUCACCGGCCACUGCAGGCAGGGUAUUCCCAACUUUUCUGAAACUCCCACAUCACUAUUUGACUUACCCAAGUCCUUG
Camelus dromedarius (Arabian camel) is the source of this 739-nucleotide long non-coding RNA. RefSeq lists it as uncharacterized. The record is from RefSeq and is a predicted model, not a curated record. The transcript has 3 exons. NCBI's taxonomy places the organism in Eukaryota, Metazoa, Chordata, Mammalia, Artiodactyla, Camelidae.